This 490-nucleotide ribosomal RNA is filed under the name uncultured bacterium. RNAcentral describes it as "partial 16S ribosomal RNA". It matches the Rfam family "Bacterial small subunit ribosomal RNA", at positions 28 to 507 of the family's 1533-position model. The record is from RNAcentral.
GAUGAACGCUAGCGAUAGGCUUAACACAUGCAAGUCGAGGGGCAGCAUGGUCUUAGCUUGCUAAGACUGAUGGCGACCGGCGCACGGGUGCGUAACGCGUAUGCAACUUGCCUCACAGAGGGGGAUAACCCGUCGAAAGACGGACUAAUACCGCGUACACUCUAUUUUGGGCAUCCAAGGUAGAGGAAAUGAAAUUCGCUGUGAGAUAGGCAUGCGUCCCAUUAGCUAGUUGGUGAGGUAACGGCUCACCAAGGCGACGAUGGGUAGGGGAACUGAGAGGUUGAACCCCCACACUGGUACUGAGACACGGACCAGACUCCUACGGGAGGCAGCAGAGAGGAAUAUUGGUCAAUGGGCGAGAGCCUGAACCAGCCAAGUCGCGUGAAGGAUGACUGUCUUAUGGAUUGUAAACUUCUUUUGUAGGGGAAUAAAGAGGGGCACGUGUGCCCCAGUGAAUGUACCCUACGAAUAAGCAUCGGCUAACUCCGUG